Molecule: non-coding RNA, 45 nt
Filed under: Schistosoma mattheei
Lineage: Eukaryota; Metazoa; Platyhelminthes; Trematoda; Strigeidida; Schistosomatidae
Source: RNAcentral
GUCCAUCUGACGAGUUCCUAAUAGAAGGAAACGCGCGUUCUGGAU